This 244-nucleotide long non-coding RNA is filed under the name Elaeis guineensis (African oil palm). Its description in RNAcentral is "long non-coding RNA (EGUI_LNC009366)". Lineage: Eukaryota; Viridiplantae; Streptophyta; Magnoliopsida; Arecales; Arecaceae. The record is from RNAcentral.
AGCACCUAAGAAUUCUCCCACACUAAGGAAGAAGGGAUGCCUCCCUUCUUUGUGUUGCAUACAACAAUCUCAAUAUCGCUGGUGGUUUCUCUCUUUUUGUCGUACAAAUAAAAGCUUAAUCAUCGAUGAAAAAAGAUCCUUCCCUUUUAUAUAUGAUGCUCCAUAUCUAAUCUAAAGUCCUAACUAAUUUAGGACAUUAGGUUUGAAUCAAAUUAAAAUCUUAUCCAACUAGGAAGAUCGGAUG